Long non-coding RNA from Zingiber officinale, 2539 nucleotides. RefSeq lists it as uncharacterized. Lineage: Eukaryota; Viridiplantae; Streptophyta; Magnoliopsida; Zingiberales; Zingiberaceae. The transcript has 3 exons. The record is from RefSeq and is a predicted model, not a curated record.
UUUCCUCUUCAUUUCAUUUCCUCAAAUCUUCUCCUCUUCCCCGACGCUGGGCCGAAGCCACACUCCCAUUCACGCUGAUGCCAUUCGACGCACCGCCGGCUGAGCCUCCCUCCUUCCUCUCCCUUUCGCGACGUGGAGCCUCUCACCCUUCUCGCGAUUGAGCUAUGACCGGCCACCGAAUUUGAGCCUUUCUGCCCCUCUCUUGCAAUUUCCCCCGAUUUCACUGCAAAUCACUGACGCGAGCCUCCUGAUCUCGUCGAUGUUGUUCAAAUCAUUGCCGAUGUCAACCACCUUUAUUUUGAUCUCCUCAGCCGAUCUCUCCUCCUCGGAUGAAAGCCCCGACCAGGGGUCGAUCGAUGCGUCGGCUGCCACAGGUCUCACUGAGCCAAGCCCUAGUCGUCGAUCCACCGUCGUCCUCUGCAUGCCGUGGCUCCGACCAGCGGAUCUCUUCCUCCUUAGCUGAUCGUUGUAGGAGACCAGACCUUCUCCUUCGAUGGGCGAUCGGUUCCGAUUCUUGGUUGCCGGUGGCUAGCUGUAGCCAUUAGAUCCUCUACUCCGGCUAACCCUUUACCUCUAGGGUUAGUGUCGGAUCUCUCCUUCUUCUCUGUAGUGAAGCUUUGGCUAGAAUCCCUUUUCUGUCUAGAAUUCUAGCAAACAUUAGCAAUAUGAACAUAACAUAGGGAUCAAUGAAGGGAUAGUGGAAGUGGGAGAUCAGCAACCUCACCUUGCAUCAACUACCAAUUCUUGGUAGCCAACGUCAUCGGCUUUGGUUCAUCAGUGGUGCAUCCAGAUAAGGGGACGGUGAUUCGAGGCGAGCGUCUCGACGUGGGAUUAGUUUAUCACGAUCGAAAGAUAAAGAUGAGUAUUUUUCCUUGGCUUCUAUGUAGUUCUUUGAACUUAGUGCAUGGUUAUUAUGUAAUGGAUUAUGUUGCUUUACCUUAAAUCAUGUUCGUUUGCUGUUUUUCCUGCUUGAUACUUAUGCUUGAUCUUUGAGGUGAUCUAAUUAUAUCAUAUACAGUCUACCUGAACUUUGUUGUAUAUGCAUGUAGAGUGUAUCAUAGGGAUGUCUAGUUGAUUUGGGUUAACAUGCUGAUUUUGUAUAUCUUUGUUGAUUGUGCACAUAAUUAGUAUGUGUUGUAGGAGUCACAUGAUUGACUGUCCAUUUGCAUGUAGUGUGUGUACACCUUUCUAGUGUGGUUAUGGUGGGUUUCUUGUGGAAUAUACCUUGUGGUUAUGAGCAUAUGUGUUUUGUAUGGAUAUCGAAGGAUUCUGGUUGAUUAUAUCUAUGUGGUUAUGUGUAUAUGUCUGGUUGUGUACGUUGUAGAGUGUGUACGUGUAUGGUUGUUACGAGCCUGGUGUGCUACUUGAUGUACUUUGUUGUUUAGUAAACAUCAGAUGAAUUUACCUAUACCUAUAGGUGUUAGAUGAAUUUUUAUACUGGAGGUGUUUAUGUGGAUUGGGGAUGUUGCAUCGAUGGUGACUGUGUCAGUAUCAUGAUUAUUUAUCAUGUUCAUCAUUCAUUGCAUGCUGAUGACCAUUGUCUUCCUUGUGGUGUGAGAUAGUCGUUAGUCAUUUAUAGCUGUCCAUUCGGCCACUAUGGGAGAGUGGUAGAUAGGAAUGGAGCUAGUUCUGUUCUGCUCACUAGGCCGUUCAGUGUUCUAUCCGCCUCGACCACUCUGGAGUAGUGGGUCUGGAGGGUUUAGUAGUUAGGGGGCUAGUGAUGUGAGUAGUCAGGGAUCCUGAUGUUAUGUAAUUAGAUAACUACUUAGCAAAUCGUUCGCCUCGGCCGCUCUAUAGCGGUGCAUGUACUGGAGACUAGUACGGUUUGUCAGGGACCCAAUCCUCUCGGCCAUACAAGGGUCGUGGUGUCUGGAGAGGUGGUGGGGGUGACCAUGUGGUAUACAUACGCAUUUGCAUAUGAUGUGCGGUGCAUCUGUGGAGUUAUAUCUACAUACAUGUCUAUCAGAUACUAGUUGCAUGUGAUUGUGAUAUGUUGCACUUGUUUGAGAUAUAAUUGUUGCAUAUGGUUGUCAUGCUUCAUACAUGUCAUUUAUUAUACAUGCAUAUGCUGUCGUAUAUAUUGCACAGGUGUUACGAGCAAAUUUGUUACUGAACCGGUGAGUUUACUGAUUAUUGUACCAUGUGUCGAUUCCAGAUUGGGUAUGUAUUUAUCAUUAUGUCAGUUAUGGUUUAAGUAGUUGGUAUGUCAGUUAUGAUUAUGUAUGGUUAUUAUAUCGAUUAUGUUAGAUGGAUUGAUUAUGUCAGUAUGAUCAUGUUCUUUAAUGCCCUACUGAGAUUAUAUACUUUGAUCUCCAUGUUUAUUUUAUAUAGACAAUGCACUAUAUUAUCUAUUACCCGCUGAGUGACCCGCACUCACCACCCCGUUUGUAUUUUUAUGCUUUCAGGUAGCAGAUAGAUGAUUGUGGAAUCACUUGGAGUAUCUUGUCUGCCAGUCCUACAUUACAUCAGAAGACUACACACACACACACACACACACACACACACACACACACACACACACACACACACACACACAUAU